CGAGGGUUCGGAGAAUAGGGAACGGAGUGCAAGUCUCCGACAGGACCGCUGCUGUGAGGCGGAGCCGAAGGCCAUGACCAUUGAUCGAAGGAUCGAGAAGGGGCCCGGGGCGAUGAAGCCGAGUCAGAAGACCUGCCUGUGAAGAUA
RNAcentral lists this non-coding RNA (147 nucleotides) under bovine gut metagenome. The record is from RNAcentral.